RNAcentral lists this long non-coding RNA (4561 nucleotides) under Setaria viridis. Its description in RNAcentral is "long non-coding RNA (SVIR_LNC006428)". The record is from RNAcentral. Lineage: Eukaryota; Viridiplantae; Streptophyta; Magnoliopsida; Poales; Poaceae.
GCUGCUGCUGCCCCCGCUCCCGCCGCCGCCGCCGCUCUUCCUGCUCGUGCCCGUCGCCAUCUUCGCCGUCCUGGUCCUGCUCGUGCUCGUCCCCUCCGACGCCAGGGGCGCCGCCAGCACCGCUACGCCCUACUCCUCCUCCUAUAGUUAGCUACCUUAUUAGAUUGGGCGCCCGGCCUUGUCGUCAUGUAAAUGUAAUUAAACGCGGACUCGGUGUGCUCGUCUUGUUCUUCAGAGAUCAAUCCAUGGAGAGGCUUUUGUUUUGCUCGAUUCGAUCAGUCCCGAUUUCGUCGAUGGUUCUUCCCUCUCUGCAUUUGCUUCUGCAAGUACGACGGUGACAAACUGACAACCGUCGAAUUGACUUCAUUCUUGCAAAGUUGCAAUCCAGAAUUCGACCCGGACAUCGAUUCAGAUUUGGAUCCUGAACUCGUAGAGAUCUCUGAUGAUUCCGCCUCCGAGUCCGAGAGCUCUGCAUCAUUGAACUUAGAUGCAGAGCACAGCGACGAUCGAGUGGCAGCUCACGUGCCAGCAGCCAGAUGGGCCAGGGUGAUGUGGGGGCAGAUUCAGUUUCAACUUUCAACUUCCAAGGGAGUCAGAAACUCGUACCAGCGAUAGUCGUCGUGUUCCUCGCGCAGCUUCUAUCCGCGAAACGAGCAGGAUCAUGCAGUUGUUAGGAUUUCCGGGAGUCGUCACUAGCAAGAUCUCAACGAACCUGGACACGAGCUUUCUCCACACGCUACUCUGCACAGAUUUUUUUUUCCCCUUGAAGUGUUGCUGCAGCUAGAAGAAAAGUAAAGUAGUAGCUCGAAAGAUGAUGCGCAUCGAUAGAUUGCGUCACGAGAAUGUUGGAAAAAAUGGGGGCUUGUUCGUCCAUCCAACUAUAUCCAAGAAUCUAGGUGCCUUCCAAAAAGAGAAAUAUUACGGGCCUAGUUAAUGGGUAUCCGGCUCAACACUAGCUACUGUUUCAUACAGGCACGGUUAUGGAUGGGAUGCAUUCCGAGUUUUUCUGUACUAGGCCGCAGAAUACAAAGCCCACACGGCCCUGAGCUUUAAACCAAGCCCACCGCCGACCACCACCCGGCCCACAUGGGUAUUGUCAUUUAUGUAUGGCGGUUGUAGUAGUAGCCCAACUUGCGGCGUAUGCGUGCAAUAAAGCAGGCCGCCCAGCGUGCACGCGAUUGAGCGAAUGGCCCAGCGGGUAGGCCCGAUGCGUGGAAGUAAAAGCGCGCGGCGGUUGGUGGUGGACUGGACGGUGCUCCCAAACCAGACGGAGGAGCCAAUCAUAACUCCCCUGACCAACACUACCCCGUUAUGAUUAUUCGUGUGGACGGCGCCAGGCUCAUGUGCUCGGUUUAGUGCACACUUGGAAAUGUAAUGCAAUUGGCAAGCUCAAGUAUUCGCUGCAUAUAUGUAUGAGACACGUACUGCCGUUUUGUUUUGUUUUUUGUUUUUUUUAAAAAAUGUUGCCACAUUUCUACAAAUAGCUACGACAAGCAUUGGGCCUAUUCAGCUAGACUUAUAAGUCGGCUGAAAAGCUGAAACAACUGAUUUGUUGUGAGAGAAAAACAUCGUUCGGUGGCUAAUAAGCCGGCUGAUAAGCUGAGAAAAACAUUGUUAGCUGCAGUACUCCAAUAGUUCAAUACAAACGUCGAGAGAGGGCAGCUACGGAUCGAGAUACCCUAUGCUUACUACCUCUCUUCUCUCUAUUUAUAUCUAUAUAUCAUUAUCUUUCCAUGCAAUGGUGUUUAUUAUUAUUUGACAUGUUAAUCCAUGUCUUAAGAGCUCUGGUAGGUCUCUGUUUUUUUUAAGACGAGAUGGAAAUGAACAAAUCCCAGCUGCUGUGAAGAUCUCUCCAGUUUAUGCUUAGCUUUCAUAGUUUUCAUAGUAGAAGACCAUGAUCUUUUUCUACCACAAUGUCGAUUUGAAAAAUACUAAACCUAGAUGUGCACUAAUAAGCAGUCCGUAUAUGGUUGUACCUCAAAAUCAAGUUUAUUUUCUGGAGAAAAGAGGCAUUUGUUAUUGUGGUUACUAUUUAUUUAUAUUCAUAGUCCUUCCCUCUAUCAAAAUGAUGUUUCAAAGUUUGGCUAACUAUCUACCUUAUGAAUAAUUAUGAUCGUUGACAGAUCGAUCAUCAUAUGAAGAAUGGCACGUGCGCUGUCAUGUACUCCCUCCGUCCCAAAUUAUAGGUCGUUUUGACUUUAUUAGAUUCAUAGACUUUGUUAUACACUUAGAUAUACCCUAUGUCUAGAUGCAUAAUAAUAUCUAUGUAUCUAGAAAAGUCAAAACGACCUAUAAUUUGGAACGGAGGGAGUACGGUUCUUCUUGUUGUAGUUAAUACUAUAAUGCUUUGGUUCCAAGCAUUGAGUAAAUCCACAUUAUUCCACAACAUUUAUUAAGAACUAUGUUUAUAAACUAAUAACUAGACUUUUCUGAUUUCAGAACUCUGUUUAUGAACCUAUAUACACAUAAGUAUAUAUCAUAAUGCAUAAGGGCUUUCACUUUAAGAUCCUACAGUGCACAUUUAUAAACCCCAAUACAUACGUCUUCAUCAUUUCAUGUAACCAUAAAAGCCGUAAAUGAAUGCUGGAAACAAUAAAUAAAGUGAAAAUGAUUGGAACAUAUAUAUACAUAUAUACGCCUAGCUAAAGACCAGAUGACCAAAUAAUAUUUAUUCCAUUUCUAGUCGAUUCAUAUGCUACAAAGGUCUGAAUUUUCAAAUAGAAAUUGACAUAUCAUUACACCCUCUAUUCAUGUGAUGAACUGAAUAAUAGAGGAACAUUGCAUGGGACUAGAACUGCCUCAUCCUACUCCAUUACACCUUAACCCAUGUCCCAGCCCAAAUAAUUAAGUCUCUACACAUGCAUAUACAUCCGUAUUCAUAUAUAGAAUACGUGCUACUAAGCACGCAUACAGGCAUGAGAAUGCUAGCUUAAUUCUUGCCCUAGAUCAUGCCUGCAUCAUAUGUGUGCGUGCAUGCCCUCGGAAAGUCACUUGAAGUUUGUGCAAACCUUGGGUGAUUCUAGGAGAGGGUUCCAGUCCCAAAUCUUUUCCAUGCUAGGAAAAGGAAGCAAUGGACCUUGUGAUGAUGGCAAGGGCUGGUUAGGGUUUCCCUGGUUACUGUAUGACCCAAUUGCCCUACUCAGCUCAUCUAUGGGAAUGGUUGCCAUUGUAGUGGAGUUUGCAUUAAGCAGGGCGUGUGUGGAAGAAGGCAGCAGCUGUGGGUUGGCGCCCUUCAUGUGGUAGAGUGAUGUACCGUCCUCCUCCGUCGACGUGGUGGAGCUAAGCGAGGCGGUUGACAGGAACGCCAUUGAUGUCUGAGGCGCCAUUGUUGCUGCUGCUCGAGCUGCAGCUGAUGAUGCCAUGAUUGUGCCACUGUAUGGCUUGUUCAUGUGAGCUGAUGAUGAGUGGCCACCGUCGAACAUUGGUGCCAAGCGUGGCGAUGCUGACGUCCGGUGGUGCUUCUUUUCCAUCGAUGCUGCCGCCUUUGAGCCUGAUGAUCUUGUGUUGGUGGUGAGGUGAAAGUUGUCUUCAAUCCCAGGACGUUUAUACACUCGGCAAAGGGAAAUCUCCUGCAUAUAUAAUAUGAAGAUGAAUUGAUCAAGAUUAAUCCAAAAUGAAAUUGGUGUUUGUAAACGCAGACAAGAACAAUUAACGCAUGCAGGAGAGACUACAAGUGUUCUUAUCCAUCCAGUGAUUUGAUCAAACAUAGUACAUACACCUGGUUAUUGAAACAAAGGAAGUUUGCAGCCAGGAAAAAAAGAAGAAGAGAGAUCACAAGUUAUAACAAAACUUUGUUGCGUUAUUGGAAAAAAAAAUUCCAAGGGAAGCAUGUUAUCUUUCAUGUUGCUCUAAAUAAAUAAAGAUAUAUAACGAGUUCAAAGUAUAAUUAAAUUUCCUUUUCAGCUGUGGAUCAUAUAUAUGUUUCAUUGCUUCUAGAGUUCCUACUACUAUUGUUUUAUAAUAACCAUGGAGUACAUGUGUUUUCCCCUUUCGAGUAGUUAGUCAUGCCAGGUUUCCACAUCUUAAAAAGUAAGUUGUAAACUUUUUGGAUAUGAAGGAUGUUGAUGAUGAAUACUUCCAAAAAGGAGGAACAAGCCUUUCCAAAGGAAAAGUGAAGAAAAAGAGUCACCGAUCUGUGAAAAAAUUGGGGAGAACCUUUUUUUUCAAGCUUCCUCCAAGUACUGAAGAAAAAAUUGAGAUGCACCAGCUGCAUGUGAUGCAAAUAGCCUAAUUAACUGUGGAAAAAAAUUGGGAAGGGCAUGCAUACGUAGAUAUCUAAUUCUAAUUAGCUAGGUUGAACCACAACCAUAUGGGGAUCUUAGCUAGAUCUUGCUCAUGCAAUAAUUCUAGGGAGCACCUUUAACACUUUUGCGCAACAGUUUGCCUAUACACAUGAUGCCAGCCGGCGAUCACACGAACAGAAGCUAGCUAGCAAUCAUAUCAACCCAACUUCCAAAAAGUGAGGGGAAUUUUAAGUGGAAGCAUCUUUCAUAGAACACUUUAUGCUUUUCAGGGAUCUCAAAGAAAAUUCAAAAACCAAUCCAAUUAAGGAAAACAAAAA